This 579-nucleotide ribosomal RNA is filed under the name uncultured bacterium. RNAcentral's name for it is "partial 16S ribosomal RNA". It matches the Rfam family "Bacterial small subunit ribosomal RNA", at positions 355 to 1376 of the family's 1533-position model. The record is from RNAcentral.
UGAGGAAUAUUGGUCAAUGGGCGAGAGCCUGAACCAGCCAAAUCGCGUGAAGGAAGACUGCCUUAUGGGUUGUAAACUUCUUUUAUACAGGAAUAAAAAAGGGGACGUGUCCCUUAUUGCAUGUACUGUAUGAAUAAGCAUCGGCUAACUCCGUGCCAGCAGCCGCGGUAAUACGGAGGAUGCGAGCGUUAUCCGGAUUUAUUGGGUUUAAAGGGUGCGCAGGCGGGCUUUUAAGUCAGCGGUGAAAUCUCGGGGCUUAACUCCGAAACUGCCGUUGAAACUGGGAGUCUUGAGUAUGGAUGAAGUAGGCGGAAUUCGUUGUGUAGCGGUGACAUGCUUAGAUAUAACGAGGAACUCCGAUUGCGUAGGCAGCUUACUAAGCCAUAACUGACGCUCAAGCACGAAAGCGUGGGGAUCAAACAGGAUUAGAUACCCUGGUAGUCCACGCCGUAAACGAUGAUUACUAGUUGUAUGCGAUAUACCGUAUGUGACUAAGCGAAAGCGAUAAGUAAUCCACCUGGGGAGUACGCCGGCAACGGUGAAACUCAAAUGAAUUGACGGGGUCAUAGCUGUUUCCUG